RNAcentral lists this long non-coding RNA (761 nucleotides) under Olea europaea subsp. europaea. Lineage: Eukaryota; Viridiplantae; Streptophyta; Magnoliopsida; Lamiales; Oleaceae. The record is from RNAcentral.
UAAAAAAGAAACUCAAACGAAAAGAAACUUUUAUUCGAACAUUAUUAAUUUGCAAUUUUUACUAAAACAAAUUUUAGACAAUUUAACUUCUUUCUAUCUAAAUUCCAUUUUUUCGCUGAUUCAUAUGAUAUGGAAAGACUACGAAGAAUGUUCGUCGUGGCAGGCGGCGCUCUUGGACAUCCACCUCCGAAUUCUCCUACCCUCGAUACCUCUAAGAAGAGCCAUUAAUGCAAAAAAAGCCACCAAAAAUCCUACGGUAUUUAAAAGGGUAUUUAGGUGUCAGUGACUCCAGUAAGACCUCCACCUCAAGCAAGAAUUGAAUUGAUUCCCAACUGGGUUUAGUGAAAAUUGCUCAAUUUUCUCAAAAUCUUCAAUACCCAGAUGAAAUGGACCCAGAGAAAGAGAGUUGUGCGUUUGAUAGUUGAAUUGGGAACUUGAACAGUGUGUAUUUUGGGAGAGAUCACGAUUUUGCAUGUUUCCACAGAACAUCUUUUAAAGCCACGUCAGAGGGAAAAAUUGGUGAAAUACCAGGUAGUGCGUAUACAUUUGAUUAUGUGUGUUUGUGUAACAUUCAUUGUUUUAGGAUUGCUAGUAUGUUUGAUUGGGCAAAAUUGUUGAAAUACGCAGUGUUGGGGCCGACGUAGAGGCAGUGGUGCCGACAGACAGAGGCGAUCGUCGGCUGGGUAGGAGUGGUUUUGGUUUUGGUUUUGGUUUUGGGAUGAGACAGUCGGGAAAGAUGAGAUGGGCGUAGGGGGUUGUGC